Molecule: long non-coding RNA, 41103 nt
Filed under: Selaginella moellendorffii
Lineage: Eukaryota; Viridiplantae; Streptophyta; Lycopodiopsida; Selaginellales; Selaginellaceae
Description: long non-coding RNA (SMOE_LNC001458)
Source: RNAcentral
UUCUGCUCACAAGUCUGUGCGUUCCUCCAAAGCCCCCUUGUUUGCUUUUCAUGUCUGUCUUGUGUUUUACUUGGUCAUUCCGCGAUGCCUUUUCUUUCAAAUUUCGUCGCUGCUAAUCUGGUAGCCCUCUCUGUCGAGUACCCUUCGCCUCUCAGAUCUGUGUUGCGAAAUCCCUGACCAUAACCACACAUGGAAGAGAUGACUAACCGAGUUCUCCUCUCCCGCAGCAGCCUCUCUUUCACCCGGAGCAGCAGCAACUCUUUAUCCCGGAGCGGCUGCUUUGCUUUCCCUGUCUGGUCACGGUUAAGGAUUUUUGCUUCCUGAAUCUGUUUCUUUCUUUCUGUGUGGAUAUUUGGUAAUCUCCGCAUCCUUGUGGUCAUUCUCACCCCUGUUUGCCCUUUGGCUGUGUUUAAUUCUGUGGCCAUUCCUCCAUAGACUUUAUUGUGCCUCUCACAGCAUCAGCGCCAGCAGCGGGACUUCCUCCAGCCGAUUCUUAGGUGCCUGGUAAAAAUGAUGUCUAGGGGACUGAAAGCCAUAAUUUUUUGUGUCAGACAAGAUCGCCUGGGCCAAGAAGCUGAACGAGAACCUGACCGCAGAUUUUGCUGACGAUGGCACUGACUGGACAAGCCAUGCGACUUUUCGGGAGCUCCAUACUUCCGCUUUCUCUGGAAUGGAGUAAAACAUACAUGUACAUGGGUCGCUCACUCUUACAGAGAUAAAAAGUUUCGUAUCGGCCUUGAGACACGGCACUUUGGAUAAUGACAACCUUCCUCCAGACCACUGCUCUCGCUACGGUGGCUGGAUAUCUUCGGCAACUUUGGAAGAACACCUCCAAGAAGGUCGUCUUUAUCAAUGGCGAAUGUUUAAUUGACAAUCCCUCGAGGACAAUGUGGCUGGCUCUUUUGCUGAGCUACAUAGACGACCUUCCAGCCGAGCUUUCAUGCUGGGGGCUGGACCUUGAAAGUAUUAGAAUUUUGGAUCCUGAUGCUGCGGGUAAAUGAAGUGAGUGUUGUGGAGGAUUUCAAUCCUUGUCCCCCUCAGGAUUUUCCAGAACUUGCUAAGCCAGAACAUCUUUCAGAGGUACACUGGUUUCUUCCUCUCCUUCAAAGCCUUCUCUUCCUGGAUUUCAUCACCAUUGUUAUCGGAAAACUUCACCUUUGGCUUGUACAUGCUGGGAUCCUUCUUCUUGAUCUUGGCUAUCAUCUCUAAAAUUAGUAUCUUUGCAGCACUCCAUCUUCCAGUCUUCCUCAUUUGAUGGCAAAUUCAUGUCCAGAAGCUUACACUUUCAAAGCAAUGCCAAUUUUGGCCUUUGCUUAGGAUAAUAAUUCAAAGUUGAAGAGAUUAGAAUACUCUUUCUUGAGCUAGUCAAUUGCUAUAAUAUAAAAACUGUUGGAGGGAUUUGAGAAAUAAAGGAGCAAAAUAAAAAUAUUGAACAGAAACAUUGAUGGGAAGACCAAAGUGAUGAAAGUAAAUGUAAAAAGAAAUAAAAUAAAAAUAAAGGGAAGGAAAAAAAAAUUUAAAAGUAUGAAACAAAAAGGAAAAGUCUCAAAUAUGCAAUCCUAAAAACAACUUGCAGUAAUAAAAGCUCAAACUCAAGAUUGCUUACACUCACCACAUAUAUACAUUUGUAUAAUUGUUGAAAACUGAUUUUAUUGUUAGUAUAGAUGAUUUUGCCACACAAUGCAACUGUAAAUGGCAAUGUGUGGCAACAAGCCAAGCAAUAAAACAUAAACCCACAAACCUUUAUCAACUUUUAUCAUUUUAUCAUUCCAGACACCACAAGCCAAAAUCCCUGCUUCAUAAACCAGAAUUCUGCAACAAGGAAAUUCAUUGCUCCAUUUCUCCAAGAGGAUAGAGAUGACACCUAAUGUCUAAAGCACUAUACCUCUAAUACCAUGUGAAGAGUCUCCAUCUAACACUCUAAAGAAAGAGAGCAGCUAAAACCUUAAAUUGACUCAAGCCACUUAGCUUGACUCUAACAGUGGUAAGAUAGGAUGGCAUUGGUGGCUGCCACAUUCUCUACUUUGGUGGCAGGAAGACCCUUUAUUCACAAUGUCUAGAGGGAUGAGCAUACCUAUACAUAGAAGCUGCUUAAACAAGCUAUGGCAUGCAAUUUGUAAAAGGGUGAGUGUUACUGCAGCAAAUUUCACUCACAAUACAGUGUCCAUAUGGCAGUUUUCUAUUGGUUUGGCAUUAAAUGUCAUUUGGAUCCCUCAUGGAUACCCCAUGGAUGCUGGCCCGAUGGGUUGAUGUCCCCAUAAUAUGAACAAUGUUCUAUACAUAGAUGCCACAUAUCAUCAAGUUUGACCCCAUGACAUAGGGAUUCAUUAGGUCAUAGGGUUUAGGAGAUGCUUCCUUGCUUUAGUGCCUGGUCAUGGCAGCAGGGUGCAAGCUGCCCCACUAAGAACCUAACCCUAAAGUGCGAUGGAAAGCGCAUGUUUCUUGGUAGCAGAUAUUUGCUAGUGAUUGGUUUUAAAUGUUUUUGUGGGCAGUGUUGGAAGUGGCUUUGAUUUACUACUCGAUUGCUCUCUAUAGACUUUCAAGUUCUUACCAUGAGUAUAGUUCCCUCGCUAGUUUACUUCAAAUUUCUGUCACUGAAACUUUUUCUUCUAGGUUACUGGAAGACGUGGAGGAAGACAAGAUGGAUGGCCUUCCAUCCAAUUUUAGUGAUUCGGACUGCGGUUCCAGUAUGGAUAGUGACAAUGAUGCUCUCCUAGAGGUUUGCUUAGUUUCUAGCCUCCUAAAUUCAUGAUUUGCACGUUUCUAGGCUUUCUAUAAUUUUUUGCAAUCGAGGGCAUUUGGUAGUCCAGCUGCAUUUAGCACUUGGAUGCACCUGACGAUCCUCAAGACUAAGACUACUGCUUUUACCUCGCAUGCUAUCUUAGAAUUUCUAAGCCAACACUAUACAAAUACAUACGGCUUGUCGAUCUAAAUUGUAGAGGUGUAUAUUACAGAGUACCACCCGAAGAAGUACUUCAUCACGUUCAAAAUAACAAUGCCAUGAAUUGAGGUGGCACAAACUGGAGGAUUAUCAAUUCUCAAUCUAGCUGUCGAAUUGGAGGAUACUAGUUUAGCCAAUGCCAAAUUUGUGAGGCUUUAGCCACUCACGAUCCUAGUAGGUUGGAACAAAGGCACAUGACAAGGAUUCGACAAUGGAUUUAUAGGAACGAGGAGGCACUUUGCCAUAUGGAUUGUGAGUAUUCUUUCAUUUCUGUUUUUUUGUCAACACAUGUGGUAACAUGCUUAUUGUAGCAUAUUGCAAGCUUGUAAGCUAUGGUUUCGAUGUACAUGCCAUUAUUUGCUGGGCAACUCAUUAUAUUGUAGCUUGCGAGCUAACUACCUCCAAAGAAUCCUAUGCAAUAUUCAACACAUAUGCACAGGCUGUUCGUCGAUUUGCAAGGCCCAAGCACAUCCGAAGCGACAAUGCUCCAAAACACAAUGAGGUUGAGAGGGACAGAGUCCUACAGCUAGGAGCUUCAUAUGUGGGACAUCAACACAUAACUAGGUACUCACAGCAUUAAAGUUUUUCCAAAUAAGGACUAAAUCAAAUUUGUUUUGCAGCCUAUAAAGCAUUUGUGGAGAGAGCUCUUUGAGUGUGUGGUGUGGUUUUAUAAGCACCUUUUUGAGUCCAUGGAAGAUAUAAGAAUUCUCGAUGUAUCUAAUCCAUAGCACAACUAGAGUCUAUGUUGUGGUUUUGCUCCGUACCUCAAGAAGGAUAUUUCACAUUGGGUUGCAACCUGGAACGUCCAUGAGGUCCGUCCGUAUUGACGUGGUGAUUACUUUAAACCAUCUUAUGUUCCUGCAAACUUAUUUCAACCGAUGGAACGAGAGUUUGGGUAAGAAUUUUGGUAAUGUUACAGAAUUCUUUAUUAAUUGUGCUUUUGUAGGAUUAUGCUGGCUGUUGGUGGAAAAGAUAUUGAAAAUGUUCCUGGACCAUUUCUCUCCAAUAUCGAAGGUGCAACUCUGUCAAAGGUAAUCUUUAGAACAAAAAUAGAACAAUUUCUUUAAAUCUAUUUUGUUGUUUUUAGCUACCUUACAGGCUCAUGGCACUGUUCGAAACCAAGCAUUUUUUAUGCAUCAGGAGGGACUCAACUUGGACGAACAAUAUCUACUUCAUUUGGAUCUAAUAAUGGAGUGUGCAAUGGCUGAUGUUGCAGGUGUAGAUCUACCACUUUACAUUGAGAGUGCCUUGCCUAUAACAACACCAGUGAAGCAAGGAGUUUUGGAAAAAUUAUACUUGGCCAUACUUGGAGAAAAUUGAGUGUUUUUUAGUGUACAUUUUAAAUUUAAAUUCAAUUCUUGAUUUCUUCAAUUUUAGGGUUCCCACAUUCGAGAUUUGGGUUUACACCAAGUCCCACCCAUAUUAAUUGUGCCUUGGAUACGAGGCAAUUUCAUUUUAUGACAUGAUUUUGUCGAUGGUUCAUUCGUUCUUCCAAUUGAUUCACGUCAUUUAACUGGAGGCAAGGCUUUUAAUGCACACUCCCCCAAUCGCAAGACCAUCGCCCAAGCAAGAGCGCCACAGCUAUGAUGGUGGGUAGCUUCUCCUUGAUCAAGUUUGCAUAAUCAAUCCCUUGUGGUUUCUAGGUUCGAAGCAAGAAUGCUGCACGCCUCAAUACCAGUAGACACUAUGCAGGAAACACCUCGUGAGCAUGCAACUAAGCACUUGAUGUUCCGCAAUCGGUACAGCUAACAAUCCUGCGAGACACAUGCCAACCACUUGAUUUUCCAAGCUCCACAACAAGGACAUCAACUCCAACAACAUCCCAUCCAUAGCUCUUGAUUGCAUUUGAGCAAGUAGAGUGCCACCUAACAUUGCAUACAUUGCAACAUAUGCAGAACCUCUAACAUGUUUCCUUCUCCUCACCUUCCUUGGAAAGUAGCAGCCCGAAUGUCCAAAAUGAGCAAGUCUGAAUACCUCAUGCCCACAGUGUUGUCCAAUCUAGAAUGUUGCCACCAACACCAAGUAUAAGACGUGCUCACGGAACCCCAUAUAGUGCCACUGCUACCAGCCCCACAACUCCACUAGCUGCUACUACUCUCGCAACUCCAUCUACUGGUACAAGUGUCAGUACUUGGCCAUCUACCUCCCGAAGCAACAAGCGGUCUAGCUCAGUAGGUUUGUCAUUUGUACCUAUCUUUUUUCCAUGUGUUGUUUUGCAUAGGGUGAGUUGACAAUGCCGCCACACUAGCAAGCUUAUAGUUCCUCAUCAGCAUUCCACAACUACUCCCAAGGAUCGACAUCAUCAUUUAGUGGAGCUUCAACAUCCAGAUAUAUUCAAGCUGAUGCUCAAGGUGGGCUGCCAUGUGAGCCACAAGUAUAACAUGACCCUAUGCACUCUUCAUUUCUUUUUUCUUUGGAUUUGUUUAACUCAUUUUCGUUUUAUUGUGCUAGACUCUCUCACCGCUUGUGGCUGUAGUGCACACCUAUACCGAUUACAAUCGGUAGUCCUUAUUUUGUCAUCGUGGACAUCGUGGCAGUCAAUCCAAAGUCAUUGGUGGGAUGUCACCUACGACACCCUUGGUCCCCCGCCCGUUCACCACAGUUCUUAUCACGAAGUGGAUUGCAAUCCCGAAAACUUUUUUGCACACUUGUAUGGGCAGAAAAGAUAGCCAUCUGUGAAAGUGACGGAACUUGACGAGCUGGCAGUGGACCUCCCAAAGUGUCUCAUAUGGGGUGGCUUAUACUCCAGUAUUCCUUUCCAGCCCAGCACGGCCCAACAUGCAAUUCUACUAUCACUCCAAGCCUCAAGAAUCCAACUGUGAGACACAAAAUCCCUAGGCCCCAAAGUGGAGCCGAAAGGGUGCCACGUGGUAGUGGCCAAAGUGAAAGCCAAAUGAACAUAACAUGUUUGGACUAAAAGCUCCGACUUGAAAGGUUGAGAGCGGGAGUGGAACUCCCAACGAAGUGUUCGAGGAACAAGCACAAAGCAAGCAAUGAGUGAGUCUCUAGAAAAGGGACACAAGAGGACCAACACAUGACACGUGGCAGAGUCCGAGAUGGAGUUCGAGACGGAGUCCGAGAUAGAGUCCGAGAUGGACCCGAGAUGGAGUUCGAGACAGAGUCCGAGAUGGAGUCCAAGAUGAAGUCCGAGAUGGACCCGAGAUGGAGUUCGAGACAAAGUCCGAGAUGGAGUCCGAGAUGAAGUCCGAGAUGGACUCGAGAUGGAGUUCGAGACAGAGUCCGAGAUGGAGUCCGAGAUGGACCCGAGAUGGAGUCCAAGAUGGACCGAGACGGAGUUUGAGAUGGAGUCCGAGAUGGACCCGAGAUGGAAUCCGAGAUGGAGUCCAAGAUGGACCCGAGAUGGAGUCCGAGAUGGAGUCCGAGAUGGACCGAGACGGAGUCUAAGAUGGAGUUCGAGAUGGAGUUUAAGAUGGACCCAAGAUGGAGACCGAGGUCGAGACUGAGACCGAGACCAAGACCGAGACUGAGACCGGGACCGAGACCAAGACCGGGGUUGAGACCGAGACCAAGAUCGGGACCGAGACCGAGACCGAGACCGAGGCCGAGGCCGAGACCAAGCCCGAGCCCGAGGAUGAGUCCGAGUCCGAGUUCGAGUCUGAGUCCGAGUCCGAGUCCGACUCUAAGUCCGAGUCUGAGUCCGAGUCCAAGUCUGAGUCCAAGUCUGAGAGGGUGAAAGCCCAAAGCGUUUGUCUCCCAAACCCUGGGGGGUUUGGUGAGCUCCAAAAGUAUAGUGAGGGGGAGAACUGCAGUGGAGCCAGUUUGGCCAAGAAAGGCUAGUUUGGCCCAGGAAGGCUGUACCCAGUGUUGGGUGGUGAGCUACCCACUAGAAAGUCCAAGACUAGGGUGAACAUGGACUGACAAGCAAGGUAACUUGGUGAAGUGUUCAAGAGUCGGCUCUAGUUCCCCUAGGAGAUCGACUGGCUGAUACUCCCAAUCCAAGUGUGGGUGGCACUACAUACUUGGAUACUUGGCAUGGCUCAACGGAACCUCGCUCUAAGCCCAUGGCUAGAGCACCCAAAGGCGGAAGGCGAGAAGAGUACCCACGAGGCUCGCGUAAGGCUACAGUGUUCCGAAAUGUUGCCCCAAAGUCCCAGACUGUGAAAAGGAAAAGGAGCCAUCUUUUAGUGUGGAAGUCAAGGAUACGGUUGUGUGAGGAAGAAGUCCCAGAGGACCGUAGGACUUAGUAGUCGAGCUUGUGGGCUUUGAUCCAAUGGCAAUGUUGGCGAACACGGCCAUGAACAAAAAGGGACAUGGUGGGGACUAGAAAAGGGGUAUUGGGGAAAGCUAAUCCCCAUGUCUGUGGGCAUCCUAAGGAUGCUAAGGAGUGGAUUUAGGAUGAUCACUCAUGGAUGGAUGGCCCAGUCCUUGAGAGACGGGACUGUGAUGCAAGUGGUGUUAGACCACCGGUGUGACCAAGGUGAAGGGGCAUGGCCUUAGCGUAACAGGUUGAUAAGUCAAUGGUACCUUGGGGUGUCGGUCAUGGGAUCAGACACAUGGAGCACUUGGACCAAGUGCAAAGGUUGAGUGGCGGGGAUGCUAUUCUUGGGGCUAGCAAACCCAAGUCCAAAAUAGGACUUAUGGAGGUUGUGAGUGAGAUUCCUCCAAGUGGUCAAAGGUGUGGUUAAGUGACUAAAGUAGAAUGGAAAAUUAAGUCGCUUACACCAACCUUCAUCCAUGACCAACCCAGAAGCAUUUGUCCAGCAUGCAAGGCAGUCCAAUGGUGGUGAGGCCCAUGCCGAGUUUGCAAAAUUUGGCCUCAGCUCUAUCCGGCCUUGCUAUUAGCCUCCUCAAACAUCAUGGGGAACUAUAACAAACAAGGCCAAUAGCAACCAGGUAACAAUAAUAUACCUAUACAAUAUUAUGGAGCAUUUUAUUGACAAACAUUAGCUAAGUUAUCAAAAACAGGCCCAAACAUUCGAGGAGAAGGAUGUUCGUGAACAUAAGUCAUUUUGUUUUUUAAGUUCCCUCCUCACAAAUAUAUGUUGUGGUCUUUGCAGUUGUAGCUACUACAAAUACCUUGACUGCAAAUGAUGAUCCAUUGGUGAUAGAGCCAUUUCUCCCAAGGCUAGCCAUGCAAGAACUAAACCAAGACGAGAAUAAUGAAGAAGAAGACUUUGUGGAUGAAGAGGACAUUCUUCCAUUACCGAAAGAUACUCUCCCCAUACAAGACAACAUCACUGGAGUCAAAGAAUAAGGUGAUAGUGGGGAUGAACCGCAUCAAAGAUCUCCGGAGAGAUCCUUGUCACCAGAGAUAGUGGCUCCAAGCCAUGUGGCUAGUAAAAAGCAUUAACAUAAAUGAAUAUUUUCUUCAUUUUCUAAUUUUUAAGUGCAGAUAAGCCAAUGGUAAUGUAUGACAGUGAUGGCGGAGGCUUUGAAGACCAUGGUGUGCUUCCACCCCCCUUUCUAGAGGGAAGUAGCUCCACUUCAUUUACUCUUAUGGAGUUGCUUGACAACUUUUCUAUAGUAGAGUAAGAUAAUUGAAAAUUAUGCCAUUCAAAAUUGAACUAACAUUUGCAUGUAGAUUGUUUGAGCGUCAACAACAAUAAAUUGAUGCUACUAAUGCAUUUAAUGAAGUUGUUCUAUUAACCACUCAAAAUAAUGACAACUUCAUCAUGCUGUAGCAUGAGGAGGUUUCUACCUUACAGAAUGCCACUACAGCCCUUGAGGCGAGGGCACAAGGGGAUGUUGAAGUUCUCUCACAAGUGUAGUGGCUGAAACACAAGCUUCUUAGUUAUUUUGGUGUGGAGAGCACAAGUGACAAAUAGAUGCUAGACGUUGUUGCUAGACACUCUAAGUUAUAUUGGGCUAGCGAUGAAAUAUUUCUUCAGCGUGUGCUUUUUCAACCAUGCCAUGCUUCAUUGGUAGGAUUGAGAGAGUGUUCUCCUUAAGCUUGGCCUUUCAGAAGCGCAGUACGAAGAUGUGUUUUGUGACAAUACAAUCCAACAACUCCUUGCUAAAGUAAGUAUCAAUGUGCCUUCUUCAAUUAUUGAGUCCACAAUAGUAUGGUUCAUUAAAAAGAGGUAUGUGUAUCUAUUUCUUAGCACUUAGUAACAUUUUAUUAUUUUGUGCAAGGACCUACGUAGAAAUUGGGUGGCUACACAACAAUUAAGAGAACUAUUUGACACUACUGAAACACUGUAUUGUAAGUUCUCUCGUUUUUGCAUCGAGAAAGCCAUCCUUUGGCCAUACAGACUUGCUCGUACACGUUUGAGGCCGUCUCACAUUCUGGUAAGCAAUGGAUUGCUUAUGAAUUGAAGUUCCCUCACUUGUCCUUCCAGAUUACACCAAACAAUGAAUUCAGUUGUUUCUAAUUCACCUUCAAUACUAAUCUCUGCACACUGAAUUAUAAAGUGGUCUAUGCAUUUGAGAUUGGAGGAGCUUUGGUGUGGGAGGAAUCCACAAUAGAUGCGGGUGGGCCACAUGCAAAAGCCAUUAAGAAGGCUGUUCACCAAAUUUCAGGAUCGGUAAGUUUAAUUUUCAUUUGGCUCACUAGAGUAACUUUGUGUUACAGAUGCAUGGACUGUUUAUGCUUAGGGAAGGAGCCACAUAUUGGCAUCCCAGGAUGCUAAUGCAUUUUAGGAUGUUAGGACAAGAAGAGCGAGAUGUGGUAAGUUAGGUUUAAAGCACAAGUUUUAUAUGCUCCUCAUUUCUAUAUGCACAGGCUAUCUUUGUGGGAUGGUUGCUAUUCCAAAUGUUCGAAUGUAAUGCACAGGUAUUUCGCAGGUGUACAAUUGCAAUAUUGGCAAUUGCAGCCCGAGAAGUUCCAGAUGAGAAUGAUUGAUGACUUGCCCAAGGAAGACUAUAUGAGAUGGACCUCAAGGCAUACGUGCCGUAUAUCUGGAAUGCACUUAACCAAUUGCGAGGUGCAUCAAGCCUAAAGGAGGAGGGCGAUGUGGAUUCCAUCUUAGAGAACCUUGCAUUUACUGACUACAACACAGUGCUUGAGUCUAGACUCACCGAACUUGGUGAAGGUUAUGAGCAAGUUGUGGAGGCAUGCGUGGCUGUGGUGGUCUGGCAUUACCUAUUCAUCGAGCCAAACGUAGUGGGAUAUUUACUCCGAGAUGGCUUCCAACACUCAAUGUGCAUGGAAGCUCGUCAGAGGCCUUACAAGGGUCUAGCAUUGUUAGGUGGGCUUUCACUCAUUGGGAGAGAUGCUUUGUUACAAGUCUUCCAGGUAAGGAUGAUCAUUCCUUCCAUGGAGUUCAUCAACUGCCUAAUCUUUGAUCAGGACUUUGGAGAGAACUUCCACAGCUGGAUUGUGGACAUCAUUCGAGGUAACUAUUUACUUUCAGAAACAACUAAAACUCUUGUAUGUUUGAACAUUUUAUAAAUAUGAGCCUGAAAGAGUUAUCCAAGUUCCAUCACUUUGUAGUUGAUUCUCUAGAGCUCCGACCGGGAGAGCCUAUUUGGAUCCACAUUGAGAGACAGGGUACAUCAUCUACUCAAUUUUCCAGGUUCUCCACAUGCACACGAGAAGUUUUCUUCCCUUUAACAUACUUGUUAAUGGAGUGGACCACAAGAUCCAUCGGGCACUCCAAAAUCUAGAGAGUUUGUACGGAUUGGGCUGAUGUUGUGGAAGUACCAUAAUCUAGACACUUUCACAAUAAAAAUAGAUAAUUAUUUUGAAAUAUGUUUCACACUUUUAAAGAGACUCUUUCUAGUUCAUUGGCGAAGUUAAAGGUAAGAAUAUUUAAAAUAUUCCAUAAAUGCCCAUUAUAGGCACUUGCGGCCCUUUUGGCUUAUGCUUGCCUCACCAAAGGUAAUCACUAUAGCUUCCAAAGUAGCUCCUUGUUUAGGAUUUGGGUCAAAAUUAUUGAGUUUGGGUGCUACAUGAUGCCCAUCCUCGCUUGAGGAACUCUCAACCUAUUUCAUAGUAGAAUCAAAAUCACCCUCUGGGUCUGUGAACUUGUCCUUGCUUGCAUCUCGAGAAGUAACAUAUCCCUUGCUGUCACUUUCUUCAGCAAGACUUUUCCCCUCGGUGACUGGCACAACAUUAAAAGUAGUCUUGGGCUGCCUUGUUAGAGGGAUUAUCAAGUCUUGAGAAGAGGAGGCAUCAUAUAGAAUCCUUAGUCCUGUCCUUUGUUGGAUCCAUUAUUGUGCCUCAAAAGAAGUCAUAGAAUCCUCUCCAAUUUGCCAUGUCAGGAGGAAACCCAAAAACCUCAAACAUUACAAAAGGGUUAGAGUAUAUAGAAAACUGUCACAAAUUUACUUUUACCAAAGUGAGCAUGAGCUUCCAAUCUCUGAAAAAUCCAAUUCUUCAACCGUAGCGUGUAGCAUACAUUGGAUAGUUUUGCCCCAUGCUUGGAAACCCUUUUUACAAAUUUCAAAAUUUGAAAUGAUUAUGAUUGGAAAAUAUUGUAAGUGUCCAUUGUUAUUGCUCUUCUCACCUAAAUGUUACCACAUGCAAUUGCAACUUUCAUAUUCUCAAAUCUCCUUUAGCAUGCUCCUCUUAAGAGAACUCUAAGUCCAAUUUGAAACAAUUAUAAUUGGAAAAUGUUGAAAGUGUCUUAUGUUAUCCUAAAUGUUACUACAUGCAAUUGCAACUUCCACAUUCUCAAAUCUCCUUCAACAUGCUCCUGUUGAGAGAACUUCAGGUCCAAACAUUAACACUAUGCACCUUUGUGUAGUAUACAAUUGAAGUAUGAGCCCCACCAAUUCAUCGAAUUGCUUAAACUUCAAUCUACUUUUGAGUCAUAUGCAAAUCUUUUAAGCAUCAUGGUACAAAACUAAAGUGUUAAGAGAGUUACAUUGGAAAUCAAUGGCAACGAAAGAUAAACUCAAUGAGAUGCAUUAAAGACAUAACUCCAGACAAUAUAUAUCCAUGGCUUUCCAAUCUUUCAAAUCUUUCCUUCUUUCAAAUCAACUUGGAAAGAUUGGAAACUCCAUCUUCCAGAUCCUUAGCCUAGAUGGAGUUCACUUACACUUGCUAUGAACACUAUGUUAAAAGAGGUGUGCCAAAAAAGGAUAAUUUAGUUCUUUUGCCAUGAGUGCCAAGAGCAAGAUGUGAGAACAUAGUGCUCUAGAUAGGGUAGUAUGGUAUGCAAUUUAGUCAAUUGUCUAUUUAGUUUGCAACAUUAACAAUUUGCUAGAAUGCAUGGGAUGAAUGGGUCUAUGGGCCAUGAAUGGCUCCAUUCCAUAGCAUGGGUCAUUGCUAUGGGCAUUAUGCCACAUCUGGGGCAUAAGGAUUGGAUAUUCCUAAAAUUUGUUUUUUUCACACUCAUAAUACAUGUGACCAAUAGCAGGCAUACACGUGGUGUGAGUGAAAUCCACCGUUGUAAAAUCCUUUUUUACAAAUUGCACACCAUACAAACAAAAUUGUGGUUAAGUUUUCACUUUUUGUCUCUUGUGUUUAUAAUUGAGUUAGUGGUCUAAACCACCGGAUGAAGAUCGUGCGGUCACUGACGAUUCUAGGGCGCCACUGUCGGGUUUCACGAUAGGGCGCUCUUGAUCGCUCUCCGGAUCAUCGAUUCCAGCGCGCAGCGGUGAGGGUUUCAACUAACGAAAUGGACGAGGAAUUGGCCAAGGUGCAGGCUGAAAUCGAGCGUCUUGAGCCGCAGAUCCAAGCGGCUGGGGGAUCUUUUCUCUCUGCCUUUGAGAGUGGCAAUCAAUUUCUGGCGGAAUAUUGGCAGAAGGAGGAAGAGCAGCUGCGGAAGGAAAAACAGCAGCUGCGGAAGAAAAAAUUACAGCUGCGGAAGAAUGAACUCCUCCUCCUCCAAUGUAAUGGUAAGUCAUUCUUUGUGUAUUUAGCUUUCCCCCUCGAUUUGGGGCGUUUUGCUGUGUGUGUGGUUCCAUGUGGCUAUGGCUGCUUUCGGCCAUGGUUAAGGAUUUUGCCAGAGGUAGCUUCAAUUCGCUUUUAUUUUGGGUUGCUGGAAGUGUGGCUAUGGUGGCUUUUGGCUAUGCUGCCGGUGGACGCAUGCUCCCUUGUGGAUCCUUGGUCGUCCUUGUAUGGCUAUGGCUGUUGAGACCCUGGUUUUUUCUUCUAGAUCUAAUACUAACUUUGUUUUGUUCUGAAUGUUGCAGUGCGCGGGUAAGCAAUUGGGAAAGCCCUUCGUUUCCUUUCACAUGCAUCCCCAUUUUCUGUCCAGUUCUUGGUAUUCCAUUUGUCCAGUUCUGGAUGCUACUUUAAUGCUGUCUGUCUAGUAAUAGUUGGGUGUCUUCUCUUUGGGAUGACUGGUAUGUUUUUCGGCCUGACACUAGAGUUUGCUCAGUUCUGCUCACAAGUCUGUGCAUUCCUCCCCCUUGUUUGCUUUUCAUAUGUUUACUUGGUCAUUCCGCGAUGCCUUUUCUUUCAAAUUUCGUCGCUGCUAAUCUGGUAGCCCUCUCUGUCGAGUACCCCUUCGCCUCUCAGAUCUGUGUUGCGAAAUCCCUGACCAUAACCACACAUGGAAGAGAUGACUAACCGAGUUCUCCUCUCCCGCAGCAGCCUCUCUUUCACCCGGAGCAGCAGCAACUCUUAAUCCCGGAGCGGCUGCUUUGCUUUCCCUGUCUGGUCAUGGUUAAGGAUUUUUGCUUCCUGAAUCUGUUUCUUUCUUUCUGUGUGGAUAUCUGGUAAUCUCGGUCAUUCUCACCCCUGUUUGCCCUUUGGCUGUGUUUAAUUCUGUGGCCAUUCCUCCAUAAACUUCGUUGUGCCUCUCACAGCACCAGCGCCACCACCAGCGGGACUUCGUCCAGCCGAGAUUGACGUGCCUGGUAUGAAUGAUGUCUAGGGGACUGAAAGCCGUAAUUUUUUGUGUCAGACAAGAUCGCCUGGGCCAAGAAGCUGAACGAGAAUCUGACCGGACACUGACUGGACAAGCCAUGCGACUUUUCGGGAGCUCCAUACUCCCGCUUUCUCUGGAAUGGAGUAAAACAUACAUGUACAUGGGUCGCUCACUCUUACGGAGAUAAAAAGUUUCGUAUUGACCUUGAGACACGGCACUGACAACCUUCCUGGAACUCUGGGCUCUGGGAAGACCACUGCUCUUGCUACUGUGGCUGGAUAUCUUCUGCAACUUUGGAAGAACACCUCCAAGAAGGUCGUCUUUAUCAAUGACGAAUGUUUCAUUGACAAUCCCUCGAGGACAAUUGUGGGUGGCUCUUUUGCUGAGCUACAUAGACGACUUUCCAGCCGAGCUUUCAUGCCGGGGGAUGGACCUUGAAAGUAUUAGAAUUUUGGAUCCUGAUGCUGCAGAUAAAUGAAGUGAGUGUUGUGGAAGAUUUCAAUCCUUGUCCCCCUCAGGAUUUUCCAGAACUUGCUUAGCCAGAACAUCUUUCAGGUACACUGGUUUCUUGCUCUCCUUCAAAGCCUUCUCUUCCUUUAUUAUCGGAAAACUUCACCUUUGGCUUGUACAUAUGCUGGGAUCCUUCUUCUUGAUCUUGGCUAGCAUCUCUAAAAUUAGUAUCUUUGCAGCACUCCAUCCUCCAGUCUUCCUCAUUUGAUGGCAAAUACAAGCCUACACUUUUUAAGCAAUGUCAAUUUUGGCCUUUGCUUGAGGAUAAUAAUUCAAAGUUGAAGAGAUUAGAAUACUCUUUUUUGAGCUAGUCAAUUGCUAUAAUAUAAAAACUGUUGGAGGGGUUUGAGAAAUAAAAGAGCAAAAUAAAAAUAUUGAAUAGAAACAUUUAUUGGAAGACCAAAGUGAUGGGAAGUAAAUGUAAAAAGAAAUAAAAUAAAAAUAAAGGGAAGGAAAAAAAAUUAAAAAGUUAUGAAACAAAAAGGAAAAGUCUCAAAUAUGCAAUCCUAAAAACCAUUUGCAAUAAUAAAAGCUCAAACUCAAGAAUGCUUACACUCACCACAUAUAUGCAUUUGUAUAAUUGUUGCUAUAGAAAAUGAAAACUAAUUUUGUUGUUAAUAUAGAUGAUUUUGCCACACAAUGGCAAUGUGUAACAACAAACCAGGCAAUAAAAAAUAAACCCACAAACCUUUAUCAACUUUUAUCAUUUUUUCAUUCCAAACACCACACACCUCAUAAACCAGAAUCUACUACUAUAAGGAGCAAACGCCAAACUUUGUGGGCCGCCGGAUCCAGCCAAUCGGGGCCAUCCGAUGGGGGGUAACUGUAAAGGGGUUAUUUCUUUAACCACGUGUUAGCGAAUAAUCGCGCUGAUGUUUGCCCCCGGCCAAUGGGAGGCGGCCAAGCCAUGUGGGGCGGGAGAGGAAGGCCCAGCGACGCAUGGCACAUGCAAAGUGUUGACCGGAGAUUGCUGCUCCAGGGCGUCACUCCGGGCAGGAUCAAGUGGGUCGUGGCCCUUGGAGCGUGCUGUGGAUCGCGAUUUCUUCCGGUGGGUAAGCAAAUCCACUCCCAAAUGGUUGCUGCUGGCUGGGAUUCGAGCUUGAUCCUGUCUACUGCGCUGAUUGACAUGUAUGCCACGUGUGGCAGUGUAGUGCACGUGGUUUUGACCCUUUAUCCUAUGGUGAUUUACCAUAGGAUAACACCACGAAGCGGAACCUAAACCCUCUUUGUGCCACGUGACAGAUGCCACGUGUCACAUGCCACGUGUCCAUGCCAUGUGUCCAUAGGAACCCGAAGUUCAAGGCCUUGGGCCAUUGAACGAAGGAACGGUGCCAAACUCCCAAGCAUGGAGCCAAGGAGUGACGGAACCGAACCACGGAGCAACUCCCGAGCAUAAAGCCCAAGGAGUGAAGGGACAGGAGCCCGGAGUGACUUGGAACAGUCCUGGAGCAACUAGCAUCCCAAUGCCAGGACCAGCACACAAAACGGAGCCAAACGGAGUCUGGCGCUAUUUCGGCAUACCGGUGGCCUAACGCGAGGAUAUGGGUACUCCACCAACUAGCAUGGAAUGGAACUUGGGCUUAGACCCAAGCCGGACGCAAAACAAGGACAGGCACGCAAGCGGGAGCUAGACUAUGCCUCAGGUUGGUCGGCCAUGCCCGACCUACCCACUAUCCCUACUAUACAUUUGGAACCCCCCACAGCCCCCCCCCCCCUUGAGGAACACACGCUUUGGGCUUUCACCCCAAGCCUCCCUUAGUAUCAGGAGUUAGUCUCUGGGACAAGCUCGAAACUUACUAAAUAUGGAAUGUCCUUAGAUUGCGAAUUUGGACACGGGACGAACACCAUUGUGUUCAGGCCGAUCUCUACAUUCCGUAGAUAUGCCAAAUGAGCAAAUCUGGACACUUUCCAUAAAUAGCAUUUGGGACCGAAAUGAGACUAACACAAAGGGCAUGAUAGCGAGGGUGUUUGGCAGACACGGUAAGCUAUCAUCCAGCAAUAUUGAGGGACCAAUCUCAAUACGCGAGGGUUCUUGUCAAGCCAGUGCAAGACAGAGCAAAAGAGAACUAACAAGCCGGGCCAAGUAUGCUCAGCUAAAUAGACACUUAGGAAUUCCUUCCUUAUGCUCAUCCGGCCAAGUACAGAUGCAAAGUCUAGUUUACUAACACUUGAACAAGAGGGGCCAAUAAAGGGAACCAGCAGUACCGACCUCCUGCCAUCGUGGCAGUAAGGUAAGAGUGUCCGUAAGGACUAGUCGACAGGUAACUUUCGAUACCCGAAGUCACAUGCGCGACACUCUCCCCCCCUAGGGAAGAUCGACGUCCUCGUCGAUGCAUACUCGAGUCUAGAAUACCGCCAAGGAAACAACUCCAGAAAAAGUUCACGGUACUCACACUAUGUGAGAAAUGCACCAACUUAAAUGAGUUAGGGGGCAACCUCUUUGUCUAACGCGGAUGCGCUACCAGCUCAGACACCUUUCAGCCGUCGCCGACAAGGAAAUGACCAACGGAGUUAGCCACCCUUGCUGCUCUGGGAGUCACCCAGCUUACAAAAGUGUGAUAUGCCCUGCCCGCAGGAACAUAGAGAGAGAAGCCAGAAGCCCCAACCCUCCUAAGCAAAGAAACCAAACCCGUCGGUAAGGUUUAGAUAGACUACUGUAAACAGGCAGUUAGAGUUGUUUACACGGUCACGCCCUUUUAACGGAAUAAGGAACAUCGACAGAGAGGCGGGUUAUGUGACUAGUCUACAGUAGCUACCCCAUGACUAGAGAUUUCAACAUGCACACGAAGUGCCGAAGCCAGUCCGCCUAUACUAGCCCAAACUCAAAGAUCAAUAGAUGGACAAUAUCAAAGUCAGAGACAAUGAUAUUUUAGAAGGUUAAUUAUCAGUGAUUAUAUCUUAGAGUAGAACACAAAAGUAUUCUAAGCAAGUUAUCAUCCGAUAAACCAAUAGUAUUGUACAGGAACCACCAAGAUCAUCAUAAUUGGUAAAUAUAGGAUUCACCAUCAAACAAAAUUCAAUAGCAAGUAUAUCAUCAAGUAAACUCAAUGAUAAAGUUUAACUAUUAAAGAUUGCAGAUAGAAUACUAAACAACUUACGAAAGACAACUCAAAGAACACAAAGUAUCAUUGACUGAUAAGCAAAAUGCUCGCGAAUGUAUCACCCAAAGGAAAUAACAUCCAAAUCUAUCAAAACUAACUUGAGCAACAAUCAACAGAAGAGAAUGAAUGUGGUAAGACCAACAAACACUCAUUCCUGCCAACUAUCACAAAAACUAAUCUGAAUAGAUCCCAGCCAACAAUACCAAGGAACUCAAGUUGCCUAAGCAAGUGUCAGCAACAUCCUACUAAUGUCUCAAACCCAAGAGACCAAUCCAAAGCAAAUCACAAAGAACAUGUGAUAUUGCGAAAAGCCACAAGCCAUCAAAGAGAACAACUAACAAUCAUGAAAGAUCAUCAAUCAUCCCAUCAAUAAAGAGAUGCAUAAUCAUCGUCUAAGAAAGAAUCCACUACCUCAAAGAGCAACGAAUCAUUCUAUAUCAACAACAACCAAGCAAAACCCUUGACAAGGAUAAUCAACUAUCUUAGAUGAUAAUUAAUCAUCACCAAUGAUUGCCAGAUGCAAAUACUAACGUCAACAUCGAAGCUAAUGAGCCAAAAUGCCUUCCCCAACAACUUCGAACAAAUGGAACAACGAUCAUAAAACUCAAAGAACCAAAAGCUCGAAGAAGUCUAUAGCUAAGUCUUGCCUAAUAAUGAUCACAAGCUUUGCAUAAACUAACUUCAAUGCUAAAGAAGAAAUCAUGGUACAACCCACAAUAUCCUCCUCAACACAUCCAUAAGCUAAACUUCAUAAUGCAAAGCUAAUGAAGAGCAUGUCUGCAUCAAUCCAAAAGCUAAGCAUAACAAAGCUAUGCUUAACAAGUGAUCAUCAAACGAUCCUCCAUGAAUCCAUCUAUAGCAAGACGUAACUCACAUCAUAACAAGCACAAGAAGAAUCAUCAAUGAUCGAUAUAUUCCAACUCAAAUCCAAUAAGGAUUCAAACAUUCUAAUAUCAAUCACUAACUCUUCCGCUUGUAGAGUUAGCAUAGUUCACGACUGAAUCACUUUUCAAGGAAAAGCUCAAAGCUCAACCCCUACUAAAUAAUCUCGUUUAGAACACAACUAACUCAAACUUGCCACUCAGUUCAUUUGAACGUCAACAUAGUUGCUAAUUAGCAAAUGCACGAAUGCUAAUAACACAAAGCUAUAGCCAAAUCAUCGACACUAUCUUCAUCAAAACUAAUGAAACUCGACAUCAAUCUUGCGGAGAGACAUCUCAUUUCACUAAAAUCUUAACAUCAACAAUGUCAACAACAAGGCAUCACUUCAAUGCCAUCAACACUAGAACAAAGCGAGAAGAAAGCACGAGUGUAUCACCACUCAAAACUCUCUAGCAACUAAGCUAACCAAGGUCGAAGAUACUUUACUCGAGUAUCCGAGACUAAUUCUUCAACAAUACUCAGUUACAGAUAACACUUCAUCAAGGAGUGAAUCACCACAUCCAAGACUCCAUGAAAUCCAACACUAUGAACUAAACGCAACCAAAUGAUAUCAACAGAGGUAGAGUCGAUAUGCCAACAUGGAAAACCCACGUAAGUCUAACAACACAAUCCUCCGCAACCCCAUUCGGUAAAGCAAGCCCAUCACUGCUAAAUCAUCAUCGAGUGAAGCAAGUGUCAAUAGUCUUUUGACAAAGUCUACAAGCAAUCAUUAGUCGCAAAGCAACUAACAAUCACUCUUUCAACUUGCCUUCACAAGACCAAAACACUAAACUCAUGUCAUCGAGUCAUACACUUGUCCAACAUGAACACGAUACCUCCGGUAUGAGAUAAAAGUUCAUAGACAAGCACAAACCAAAUGACCACUCAAAUCCAACUCAACCACGAUAAGCUCACCAAAGCAUUUAGCCAUUAGCUCUGAGCAUGCCUUGAAGAGGCUAGCUAAGCAUGAUCAACACUUAGUCGAAACUAAAGUGAAGACCAUGAGAUGGACUUAUAUCGGUACACAACCUCCUUAUAGACAAAGCUAUAGUACGGGUACCAACAUCUCAAACUCAAACAACUAAGUUGGACAUCACCAUUCUCAGCCAAGGCGCAAGGCCACCAAGACUAAGUCAAGAUCAGUGAGAGCUCACUACUCUCAUAGAGUCUAACAAAAUGCAAAGUGCAACCUACCACCAAGCAUAACGCUACAAAAGAAAGGCACAAGGGUCACCUUUCUGGAAAAGUGCAACGGCCACUUUUCUACACUAACUCCAGACUCUAUCCAACUCAAUUGCCUUAGCCCUAAAAGUUAGCAUCCCUUUCGGGUCGCAUCAUACAAACUACUUACUAAGAUCUAAGCCAACCGAAGUCAACUCCAACCCCUUCACUAGUUUGUAUUGGCUUUUGAAAAUGGAAUGGUUUUCGAGCAAAGUGAUAACAGAUCAGCCAUUGGAAAAGUCUAAGAAAAUUUGUGGAAAAAAAAAUCUUCCAAUCCUAGAAAAAGAAUGACUCUCAGUCUAGGAAUUCAAAUUUUCAAAACUCAACCAACUUCCUCCUACUUACAACUUCACAUAGGUUCACCUCAACACAAAUUCUCAUGACCUAUAGUAUGCUUAAGCCUCGAACAUCUUUCUGCCCAUUUUUCCAAUAUCCAACACCGACAUCCGUAAAAUGCAAAGUGAACAUCCAAGGCUUGAUCACGAAGACCACAUCUUCGGAUAUCCACAUUGCACUAACACUCUUCUUCAACCACCUUCAAGAUCCAAUGUGAAGCUAAAACACUAACAAGAAAAAUGACAUAGAAAAUCAAGCUCUAAGGAAAAUCCUCACCACUUGAAAUAACAAUGCCACUUCCACUAACACAAGUGUUAGCGAUGUCAAUGCCUCAACUACACACCUUCUCCAUCCAACAAUCUACUCCAAGUGUUAACGAAUCAACUUAUGAGCUAUAGCAAAUGAAUGCUACAACCCUUUCCAACACCUUAUGGGCAAACCCUCAAGGAAACAAGGAACCAACUUAAGCUUAGCAUAAUGGACCAUCAUCGAGAAUCCAGUCAAAGCUACUACAAUGCUACUUUGUGCAAGUAGACUAGCUUCACCAUCAACCACUUUGGGGUUGAUCAUCAUUUAACCAGCAACUUCGUAAACACAUUGCUCAUUAUCACAUGGAUAUGAUAUAGAAAUCACAAUGACUUGAUCAUCAAUUGAGCAACACCACGAACAAUGCCAAUGUCAUUACUUCAAAGGUUUACAUGAAUAUCAAGUGCCAACUCAACUUGACAGAAUGCAACAUAAAUGCCACACUCUACCGAUAGAGAUUUACAACACCCAAUACCACUAACUUUUGUUCACAACACAGACAAGCUCAUGCCCCUCACUAUCCGAUCAAAAACUCAAGACUUAACCCAACACCAAGCUACUCAAGGAGCAAUAGCUAGGUUCCCCGGAAAAGAAUUGAGCAUUGUAACCCAAGUCUUCCAAUAGCGAGCUUAGACAAAAUGGUUUAACGCUUCACCGCUAUCCAUCCCAUAACUCACCAUUUGUAAGACCAUCAUAAUCAACAUGCAUCAAGAUAGGGACUCUUGAUUGCAUAAUGUGAAUACGAGCAAUGAGUCAACACCUCGUUGCAAAUCAUCUCUCCAAGAAGAAAAGAUGAUUUACGUGUUUGAUCCUCCGUCCCCGAUGACUCUCUUUUCGGUCUCAUCUUUGACCAAACCUCAAGCUUGCUUUCACACUGCCUUCAGUCCAAUCCAAGAAAAGUUUAUGAGAGAGCACAACAAUGAUUACUUGAACCAAUAGACUAACCCCUACAGUCUUAGUUGAUCCACUUGUAAUCAUGCCUAGGAAAGAUCUACUAGUGUCGUGCUAAACAGCUACGGACCAGCCUAUUUGCCACUCAUAGCAAACCCAGGGAAAGUUUGCUUUCACCCAUGGUACAUAGAACAACUUAUGGAACUACCGAUAGGCUAACAUUAAUCCUGCCAACUCAAAGUUUAAUCUCGAGUUGCUAAUGUGCCUCACUCGCGAGCCCAAGCAUAAACUCGUGCUAACGGAGCAUCUCAAAUCCAUCCUAUGAGCCCAAGAGCAAGCUCACAUUGUUAGGUACAAAAGGUAACCAAAACCAUACCCAAGGAACGAACGUGAACCCCUUGCACCAAACGUGUACUCAAUCGGACCAUCGUUUUCAUCUCUGCGUAUGCAACGAGACUAGUUGCCCAAUCUCAUUGUAUAGUACUCGCUGAGACUUACUCUCUGAUACCAAAUGUAGCGCACGUGGUUUUGACCCUUUAUCCUAUGGUGAUUUACCAUAGGAUAACACCACGAAGCGGAACCUAAACCCUCUUUGUGCCACGUGACAGAUGCCACGUGUCACAUGCCACGUGUCCAUGCCAUGUGUCCAUAGGAACCCGAAGUUCAAGGCCUUGGGCCAUUGAACGAAGGAACGGUGCCAAACUCCCAAGCAUGGAGCCAAGGAGUGACGGAACCGAACCACGGAGCAACUCCCGAGCAUAAAGCCCAAGGAGUGAAGGGACAGGAGCCCGGAGUGACUUGGAACAGUCCUGGAGCAACCAGCAUCCCAAUGCCAGGACCAGCACACAAAACGGAGCCAAACGGAGUCUGGCGCUAUUUCGGCAUACCGGUGGCCUAACGCGAGGAUAUGGGUACUCCACCAACUAGCAUGGAAUGGAACUUGGGCUUAGACCCAAGCCGGACGCAAAACAAGGACAGGCACGCAAGCGGGAGCUAGACUAUGCCUCAGGUUGGUCGGCCAUGCCCGACCUACCCACUAUCCCUACUAUACAUUUGGAACCCCCCACAGCCCCCCCCCCCUUGAGGAACACACGCUUUGGGCUUUCACCCCAAGCCUCCCUUAGUAUCAGGAGUUAGUCUCUGGGACAAGCUCGAAACUUACUAAAUAUGGAAUGUCCUUAGAUUGCGAAUUUGGACACGGGACGAACACCAUUGUGUUCAGGCCGAUCUCUACAUUCCGUAGAUAUGCCAAAUGAGCAAAUCUGGACACUUUCCAUAAAUAGCAUUUGGGACCAAAAUGAGACUAACACAAAGGGCAUGAUAGCGAGGGUGUUUGGCAGACACGGUAAGCUAUCAUCCAGCGAUAUUGAGGGACCAAUCUCAAUACGCGAGGGUUCUUGUCAAGCCAGUGCAAGACAGAGCAAAAGAGAACUAACAAGCCGGGCCAAGUAUGCUCAGCUAAAUAGACACUUAGGAAUUCCUUCCUUAUGCUCAUCCGGCCAAGUACAGAUGCAAAGUCUAGUUUACUAACACUUGAACAAGAGGGGCCAAUAAAGGGAACCAGCAGUACCGACCUCCUGCCAUCGUGGCAGUAAGGUAAGAGUGUCCGUAAGGACUAGUCGACAGGUAACUUUCGAUACCCGAAGUCACAUGCGCGACAGGCAGCUUGCGAGGCGAUGAAGACAGUAGUAGCAGGAUUUUGCUCCUGGAAGAAUUGUUUGUGGCCUGUGACAGGCAUUACGAAUGACAGCAGGGAUCCCUGUGCCGACACCUUUCGCACAGCAACACUGCCAAUGCUUAGGCACUUUGGUGUUCCAGUCGAAGGCCUAGAACUCAAGGUUGUUGCCCGCGGAGCUCCUCCCUUGGGUGGCGGUGAGGCUGUCCUCAAAGUUCCCAUUGUCCCCAAGAGCCUCACGGUCAGUUUCUCCAAACUCCUCUUCUUUUCUUUCUCUCCUCGCUAAGAAUCCUUCGCCAGGCUGCUACAUGGGUGGACAAGGGCAUGGUGAAACGUAUCCGAGGAGUGAGUUACUUCACACCCGUCUCACCUCAUAUGGCCAAUCGAAUGUGGUGUGCUAAAGCGCUUGCUCCCCGACAUGUACAUCUUUACUGAUCACUACACUGGUUCGGAUUCCGGGAAGUAAGUUCCAUGAUUUUGUGCUGCAAGGUAAACGUUUUUCAUCUUGCUUCCUUUGUCAUGGCACAGAUCUCCGGGCUAUGGAAUCUCACUGGUGGCAGAAAUGACCACCGGCUGCAUUUUAAGCUCCGAGUGCGUGGCUACGCAUUCUGGAGCAUCCGAGCUCCAGCUUCCAGAGGACCUGGGGAUGCAAGCAGCCAUGUCCUUGCUACAGGAGAUAAAAGUUGGGAGGAGUUGUAGAUUCAACUCACCAGGUAUCUAUCUGUGAAGCUGGAAAGGAAAGAAGUCGAUCUCACAAACUUUCCUGUUUGCCAUACAGGGGUUGCUGUUCCCGACCAUCAAAGAAUUUCUGGGAGUGCAGUUUGGUAUCAAGCCUGACCCAAAUCAGUUACAUGGAACUUUUUCUAGAAGCCAUCGGUCUUUUCCAGCAGCAGCGCAUCCACUCUCCUUGAUGUGCACAGCGAUUCAAGCUGCGGCCUCAAACUCCAGCCAGCCAUCCACGACGAUCAUCUGCCUCUCAUCGUCAUCAUCUGCUGAUGCUCCCACUGAAGAUAAGAAGCUGGAAUACACUUUGGACGCAUUCACUAUGUCCGUCACUACCAGCUGGGGGCUCUUGAAGUCCGGAUGGCGGUGAGCUCCCGGAGGAACUUGAGCAUGCAGCUGAAGAUCGAGAACAUUUUCCCAUUAGAUGUCUCCCGCAUCAAACGUUGAUGUCUUUUAGUGACUCAAGAACAGCAUGAGGCAUGGGCAUUUUAGACACAAUUGGUGGAAAAAGCAUCUUAACCUGCAAAGAAUUCCAAUGAAACCAGUUCCAGUUAAUAAGGAGACACUUUGUAUCUCCCGAACUAUUUUUUGCUGUAUAUCCUGAUGAAAAUGGGAGUAAGAGGUGUGAGAAAAAUUCCAAGUUGAACUAACUCACAGUGAAACCCUGCCUUCCCCCCCACCGCAAUAUAGACUGUAGUUCAAAGUUCGUUACUUGAGAACAAAGAGUGAAAAAUAAGUCAUGAUGAGAACUCCCCAAAUCUCAUGAACUGCACAAAUCUAACUUAAUUUUUCACAGGCAUUUUGCACAGGCAUCUGCCUAUCCUCACUCAAAAGUAGUCACUUUACUUUUAGACCACAUUAGAUCAGAAGUGCAAAAGAUCAAAAUGUUGAAACCAUAUUAGAAGUAAAAAGUAAGGUUUAUUACUAGAUGAUUAAGGUUUCUCUCAAACAGACAUCAUUUUUUGGCUAAAUCACAACUGUGGGGGUAUUUAACAAUAAAAGUAUAUAUUAUAUUUUUAUAUGUAGCUUUAGUUAUUUAUAAUUAUCAGAAAAACUACGAUAAUGUAUGUAGUAUUUGAUUAAACAUUAAUAUUUUAAAAUAUUUUUACUAAUUUAUUAGUAUAUAAUACUAUGGAAUAUAAGAUUUGAAUUUAUUAUAUAUAUAUAUAUAUAUAUAUACAAAUAAUUAUUUUUUGAUUGGAUCUGGGUAGCAAUAUAUUAAUGUUUCUAAAAACUUAUUGUUUUAUAUUUUGAGUAAAACUUAUAAUUAAUUAAUGUCCUGCAGUAAUUAUUCUCUUUUAUUUGUUUUUACUUUUUUAUUUGUCAAUUUGUUUCUAAAUAUAUUCAUAUUUCCAAAUAAUAAUUUGUAUAUAAUAUUUUUAUGAAUGAAUAUUUUAUCUUACUUAUGCCUAAGAAUAUAUUUUGUUCUAAAUAGUUAUAUUAUCAAGUUUAAAAAAUUUAGCUUUUUAUUCAUCUAACAUUUUCUAGGCAUAAUUCUCUCAAUCAAAGUGGAAUAUAAUAUUUGUUGUUUUAAUACUAUUCUAAUUUAGUUUUUAAUAUAUUAAAAAAUCAAAACAGUAUUUUGCUAAUUACACAGCAUAUGCUGGGCAAGUGCUAGUUCUGCAAUAAAGAAAUUCAUUGCUAAGAGGAUAAAGAUAACACCUAGUGAUUAAAGCACUAUGCCUCUGAUACCAUGUGAAGAGAAGCUAGCCUCUCCACCUAAAACUCUAAAAAAAGAGAGCAGCUCUCACAAAAUAGGAAAAACAGCUAAGAAGCUUAAAUUGAAGGAAUGUGACUCAAGCCACUUGACUUGACUCUAACAGUGGUAAGACAGGAUGGCAUUAAUGGCUGCCACAUUCUCUACUUUGGUGGCAGGAAGACCCUUUACUCCAGAGAUACAUACCACUUAAACAAACAAAAUUGUGGCUAAUGUCUCUUGUGUUUAUAAUUGAGUUAGUGGUCUAAACCACCGGGCCGUCGGAUGAAGAUCGUGCGGUCCCUGACGAUUCUAGGGCGCCACUGAGCUCUCCGGAUCAUCGAUCCCAGCGCGCGGCGGCGAGGAUUUCAACUAACGAAAUGGACGAGGAAUUGGCUAACGUGCAGGCUCAAAUCGGACGUCUUGAGCCGCAGAUCGAAGCGGCUGGGGAAUCUUUUCUCUUUGCCUUUGAGAGUGGCAAUCAAUUUCUGGCGGAAUAUUGGCAGAAGAAGGAAGAGCAGCUGCGGAAGAAAAAAUUACAGCUGUGGAAGGAGGAACUCCUCCUCCUCAAAUCUAAUUGUAAGUCAUUCUUUGUGUAUUUCGAUUUGGGGCGUUUUGCUGUGUGUUGUGGAUUAUGUGUGGUUCCAUUGGCUGCUUUCGGCCAUGGUUAAAGAGGUAGCUUCAGUUCGCUUUUAUUUUGGGUUGCUGGGAGUGUGGCUAUGGUGGCUUUUGGCUAUGCUGCCGGUGGACGCAUGCUCCCUUGUGCAUCCUUGGUCGUCCUUGUAUGGCUAUGGCUGUUGAGACCCUGGUUUUUUCUUCUAGAUCUAAUACUAACUUUGUUUUGUUCUGAAUGUUGCAGUGCGCGGAUCUGGUAAGCAAUUGCGAAAGCCCUUUGUUUCCUUGCACAUGCAUCCCCAUUUUCUGUCCAGUUCUUGGUAUUCCAUUUGUCCAGUUCUGGAUGCUACUUUAAUGCUGUCUGUCUAGUAAUAGUUGGGUGUCUUCUCUUUGGGAUGACUGGUAUGCUUUUCGGCCUGACACUAGAGUUUGCUCAGUUCUGCUCACAAGUCUGUGCGUUCCUCCAAAGCCCCCUUGUUUGCUUUUCAUGUCUGUCUUGUGUUUUACUUGGUCAUUCCCCGAUGCCUUUUCUUUCAAAUUUCGUCGCUGCUGCCCUCUCUGUCGAGACCCCUUAACCUCUCAGAUCUGUGUUGCGAAAUCCCUGACCAUAACCACACAUGGAAGAGAUGACUAAGGAUCCCUUUCUCCUCUCCCGCAGCAGCCUCUCUGUCACCCGGAGCAGCAGCAACUCUUUAUCCCGGAGCGGCUCCACUGUCCUGCUUUGCUUUCCCUGUCUGGUCACGGUUAAGGAUUUUUGCUUCCUGAAUCUGUUUCUUUCUUUCUGUGUGGAUAUCUGGUAAUCUCCGCAUCCUUGUGGUCAUUCUCACCCCUGUUUGCCCUUUGGCUGUGUUUAAUUCUGUGUCCAUAAACUUUAUUGUGCCUCUCACAGCGCCAGCGCCACCACCAGCGGGACUUCGUCCAGCCGAGAUUGACGUGCCUGGUAUGAAUGAUGUCUAGGGGACUGAAAGCCGUAAUUUUUUGUGUCAGACAAGAUCGCCUGGGCCAAGAAGCUGAACGAGAAUCUGACCGGACACUGACUGGACAAGCCAUGCGACUUUUCGGGAGCUCCAUACUCCCGCUUUCUCUGGAAUGGAGUAAAACAUACAUGUACAUGGGUCGCUCACUCUUACGGAGAUAAAAAGUUUCGUAUUGACCUUGAGACACGGCACUGACAACCUUCCUGGAACUCUGGGCUCUGGGAAGACCACUGCUCUUGCUACUGUGGCUGGAUAUCUUCGGCAACUUUGGAAGAACACCUCCAAGAAGGUCGUCUUUAUCAAUGACGAAUGUUUCAUUGACAAUCCCUCGAGGACAAUGUGGGUGGCUCUUUUGCUGAGCUACAUAGACGACUUUCCAGCCGAGCUUUCAUGCCGGGGGGUGGACCCUGAAAGUAUUAGAAUUUUGGAUCCUGAUGCCGGGGGGUGGACCUUGAAAGUAUUAGAAUUUUGGAUCCUGAUGCUGCAGAUAAAUGAAGUGAGUGUUGUGGAAGAUUUCAAUCCUUGUCCCCCUCAGGAUUUUCCAGAACUUGCUUAGCCAGAACAUCUUUCAGGUACACUGGUUUUUUGCUCUUCUUCAAAGCUUUCUCUUCCUUUGUUAUCGGAAAACUUCACCUUUGGCUUGUACAUAUGCUGGGAUCCUUCUUCUUGAUCUUGGCUAGCAUCUCUAAAAUUAGUAUCUUUGCAGCACUCCAUCCAGUCUUCCUCAUUUGAUGGCAAAUUCAUGUCCACAAGCCUACACUUUUGAAGCAAUGCCAAUUUUGGCGGAUAAUAAUUCAAAGUUGAAGAGAUCAGAAUACUCUUUCUUAAGCUAGUCAAUUGCUAUAAUAUAAAGACUGUUGGAGGGGUUUGAGAAAUAAAGGAGCAAAAUAAAAAUAUUGAAUAGAAACAUUUAUUGGAAGACCAAAGUGAUGGGAAGUAAAUGUAAAAAGAAAUAAAAUAAAAAUAAAGGGAAGGAAAAAAAAUUAAAAAGUUAUGAAAAAAAAGGAAAAGUCUCAAAUAUGCAAUCCUAAAAACCAUUUGCAAUAAUAAAAGCUCAAACUCAAGAUUGCUUACAUUCACCACAUAUAUGCAUUUGUAUAAUUAUUGCUAUAGAAAAUGAAAAUUGAUUUUGUUGUUAGUAUAGAUGAUUUUGCCACACAAUGCAACUGUAAAUGGCAAUGUGUGGCAACAAGCCAAGCAAUAAAAUAUAAACCCACUAACCUUUAUCAACUUUUAUCAUUUUGUCAUUCCAAACACCACAAGCCAAAAUCCCCACCUCAUAAACCAGAAUUCUGCAACAAAGAAAUUCAUUGCUCCAUCUCUCCAAAAGGAUAUAGAUGACACCUAGUGUCUAAAGCACUAUGCCUAUGAUACCAUGUGAAGAGAAGCUAGCCUCUCCACCUAAUACUCUAAAAAAAGAGAGCAGCUCUCACAAAAUAGGAAAAAAAACUAAGAAGCUUAAAUUGAAGGAAUGUGACUCAAGCCAUUUGGCUUGACUCUAAGACAGGAUGGCAUUAGUGGCUGCCACAUUCUCUACUUUGGUGGCAGGAAGACCCUUUACUCACAACCUCCAGAGGGAUGAGCACACCUAUACAUACCGCUUAAACAAACAAAAUUGUGGCUAAGUUUUCACUUUUUGUCUCUUGUGUUUAUAAUUGAGUUAGUGGUCUAAACCACCGGGCCGUCGGAUGAAGAUCGUGCGGUCCCUGACGAUCAUCGAAUCCCUAACCCUAGCUAAUAUAUAGGGCGCUCUUGAUCGCUCUCCGGAUCAUCGAUCCCAGCGCGCGGCGGCGAGGAUUUCAACUAACGAAAUGGACGAGGAAUUGGCUAAGGUGCAGGCUCAAAUCGCGCGUCUUGAGCCGCAGAUCCAAGCGGCUGGGGAAUCUUUUCUCUUUGCCUUUGAGAGUGGCAAUCAAUUUCUGGCGAAAUAUUGGCAGAAAAAGGAAGAGCAGCUGCGGAAGAAAAAAUUACAGCUGUGGAAGAAGGAACUCCUCCUCCUCAAAUCUAAUUGUAAGUCAUUCUUUGUGGGCGUUUUGCUGUGUGUUGUGGAUUAUGUGUGGUUCCAUUGGCUACUUUCGGCCAUGGUUAAGGAUUUUGCCAGAGGUAGCUUCAAUUCGCUUUUAUUUUGGGUUGGUGGAAGUGUGGCUAUGGUGGCUUUUGGCUGUGCUGCCGGUGGACGCAUGCUCCCUUGUGCAUCCUUGGUCGUCCUUGUAUGGCUAUGGCUGUUGAGACCCUGGUUUUUUCUUCUAGAUCUAAUACUAACUUUGUUUUGUUCUGAAUGUUGCAGUGCUUAGAAAUAUGAACUAGUGAAGUCCAUGUAAACAAGCACCCUAGAUUGCAUGAUGUGUGUAAGGCUAUAUGGAGUAUCGGCCCGUGAGAAGAAGUAUGGUAUGUGCCAGUCUCGAGGCUCGGCUCCUUGCAAGUGCCUCUCGAGAGCCACUGGGCGGUAUGAAGUAGACCCGAGCACCGCUUGUCCAUCGCCACCACCUUUCAUCACUGCUGAGACGUGUUCCGCUAGAUCAGAGGCAGGAUUUCCUGGGAGUCUCGUAUUUCCCGAACAAGCUGCUCCAGCCGGAUAUGGUGUCGCCCCUGGACAAGUGCCUGAAUAUGUGCAAGGCAAACUGCUCCUGUGCCGCGGUCUUCUAUAGCAAGAACUCGAGCGGCUGCUACUUCGUCAAGGACAUCCUGGGAAGCUUGGACUUUGAUGCCACUGCUGCGGUGCAGUACUCCGCUCAUCUCAAGCUCGAGAGUGGCAGCAUUGUCCUGAAGCCUGGAUGCUACUUUAUCUAGUUGGGUGUCUUCUCUUUGGGAUGACUGGUAGCCUGACACUAGAGUUUGCUCAGUUCUGCUCACAAGUCUGUGCGUUCCUCCAAAGCCCCCUUGUUUGCUUUUCAUGUCUGUCUUGUGUUUUACUUGGUCAUUCCCCGAUGCCUUCGCCUCUCAGAUCUGUGUUGCGAAAUCCCUGACCAUAACCACACAUGGAAGAGAUGACUAACCGAGAAGGAGCUCUUUCUCCUCUCCCGCAGCAGCCUCUCUUUCACCCGGAGCAGCAGCAACUCUUUAUCCUGGAGCGGAAUCUGUUUCUUUCUUUCUGUGUGGAUAUCUGGUAAUCUCCGCAUCCUUGUGGUCAUUCUCACCCCUGUUUGCCAUUUGGCUGUGUUUAAUUCUGUGGCCAUUCCUCCAUAAACUAUAUUGUGCCUCUCACAGCACCAGCGCCAGCAGCGGGACUUCCUCCAGCCGAUUUUUAUGUGCCUGGUAAGAAUGAUGUCUAGGGGACUGAAUGCCAUGACUGGACAAGCCAUGCGACUUUUCGGGAGCUCCAUAUUCCCGCUUUCUGUGGCUAUCAAACAUACAUGUACAUGGGUCGCUCACCCUUCAAGGAGAUAGAAAGUUUCGUAUCGGCCUUGAGACACGGCGCUUCGGAUAAUGACAACAAACCUCCAGGUAUUAUUAUUGGAACUCCGGGGUCUGGGAAGACCACUGUUCUUGCUACUGUGGCUGGAUAUCUUCGGCACCUUUGGAAGAACACCUCCAAGAAGGUCGUCUUUAUCAAUGGCGAAGAUUUCAUUGACAAUCCCUUGUGGACAAUGUGGCUGGCUCUUUUACUGAGCUACAUAGACGACCUUCCAGCUGAGCUUUCGUGCCGGGGGCGGACCUUGGAAGCAUUAGAAUCUUGGAUCCUGUCGAGAUCGUCAGAGCAGCUUUACUUUCUGGUGGACGAGGCCAACGCGUUUGACACCACGCUGAAGAGAGAACCGGGGGCUGCCAGCGCGAAAAAAAGAGACGACGCUUACCAUUUUAUGAAGAAUAUGCAACUGCAGCACGUCGUUGUCUACUGCUCAAGUACGUGGACGAGCAGAUUAGUGAGCGACAAAAGCCAGGUGGUUACAACGUAAGUGGCGACUACUUUCCAACACUGGUGUGGGGCUAACUUGUGUGCUUUUCCUUUUAUCCAACAGGCUGAGGAACUGCAGGCAUAUUGCGAACACGAGGUUCGUCGUGCCGGGGGGCUCCAAGUGGAGGUGAGCAUCGUAUUUACCGUGUCUUCUUUUAAAGCCUACUAAUGGUUUGGAGUAGGAGGAUCCGAUUGUGGCGUAUUGCAGGCUUGCCACAAGGCAAGGCCACCGAGAGUUGAUCCGACAAAUUCAGCUCCUCCUCAGAUCCAUCAACCUGCUUCAUCGCGUCGGUAAGCCACACAUUCACACAUUUCAUUUACCUUAAUGCGUUUGCUCGGAAUUCAAAAGUGAGACCGGCUGGGUUCCCAGGCUUGUUCGCUCAUUACGGGACCUGGAAGCUAGGGACCACGUACCAGAUGUACGAAGCUGGCCUGGGAGAGUAUAUCCAAGAGGCGGUCAAGGACCCAGAUCGCUGGAAUUCCUUCAUCGCUGUGGUCAGCAGAGUGGAAACGAUUAGAGCGGUGUUACCAGACGCGCUAGACACUCGAUGUUUUUACGUGGAUCCAGAGACACAAACAGGAAAAUGUCCAUCAGAUUCUCUGUGCGCGCGCACUAUGGCGACUCUGCAGUACGCGUCUGACGUUGAGGCUAGGAUGGGUAUCGGCCAAUGGACAAGGCUGAUCUCGCAGGAUGACAACAGUGCUCGGGUUGGGUGGAACGCAAUAAUGGCAACUCUCAUUUUCAUCAAACACUAUGGUAUCGUUAUUACCGCGGAAGGUCUGCAGCUUAACUUUAAACCUGAAGUGGUUGUCAGAUUCGAACCCCAACUUCUGUUUGGAUCCUAUGAUCCCCCCCCCAUCCUUCGUGGGGUACAACACACCUCAGUCCAAAUGCUUCCAUCAGUCCUUUUAGGACCAUUUUUUGACUCUACUUAAGUCAUCCAGCAGUUUUAGACUUGAUUAAUUCACAGACCUAUAAGGUCCCACUUGUGAAGCACUAGCUCACUGGAAUACACUUCCUGCAUUCCUGUCCUACUUAGAAGGACUAUUUUCACAAGUGUUAUUCUGACACUUGUUUUUGUUCUCUAGGGCAACUUCUGCCCCUUAGAACUACUUGUCCAUGUGAUGAGAAUACCAACUCAUCUUUAAGUACACCCCCCAACUCUUUGGGUUGUUCUAACAUUUAUUAAAGGUAGCCCCGGCUACCAUUUCAAGGGCUGGUGUCCUCUUCUGUAUUUGACAUCCCACAGUCAACAAUUUUAGUCUCGAAUUUAUGAGUACCAGCCUCAACCAUAUAAGGGUAAUCUUGUGACUCCUUUAUUGUUUUGGAGUCUGCAUCUUCCCCGUGAUCCCAAUUGUAGUUGUUUACCACAACUACAUUAGCAAGUUUGUUAAGUCAAACGCUCAUCUGGAUCACAUCCUCAACUCUCUGAAGAAACCCUUAUACUAUUCCCAAGAUCCCAAAGUCAUUCCAUUAUUGGCCCCUUUUCUAUCCAGCACAUUGCACCCAAGUUCACGCAUGAACUUGAGUGGAGAGCCAUGUCCUCUCGACAUGCUACUCCUCAAGGAUAGGCCCACUCCUAGGACUUUCUGAUGCCAAUAUCAAUGGUGUUAUACUUGAGCACCAAUAAAAGUCGGACUAAAGAACAACUCCGAUACUAAGUUGUAAGUGACUAAAUUUUCCAUUUUACUUUAGUCACUUAACCGCACCUCCGACCACUUGGAGGAGUCUCACUCACAACCUCCGUAAGUCCUAUUUUGGACCUGGGCUUACUAGCCCCGAGAAUGGCAUCCCCGCCACUCAACUUCGUGCACUUGGUCCAAGUGCUCCACGUGUCCGAUCCCAUGACUGACACCCCAAGGUACCACCAACAUAUCAGCCUGUUACGCUAAGGCCAUGCCCAUUCACCUUGGUCACAACGAUGGUCUGACACCAUCUGCAUCCCAAUCCCAUCACUUAAAGACUGGGCCAUCCAUCCAUGAGUGAUCAUCCCAAAUCCACUCCUUAGCAUCCUUAGGAUGCCCACCGACAUGGGGAUUAGCCUUCCCCAAUAUCUCCGUUCCAAUCCCCACUAAGUCCCUUUUCGUCCAUGGCCGUGUUUGCCAACACUGCCACUGGAUCGAGGCCCACAGGCCCGACCACUAAGUCCCACGGUCCACUGGGACUUCCUCACCACACGACUGUGUCCUUGGUCACUACCCCAGAGGACUGCUCCUCUUCCUUUCCACAGUCUGAGCCUUUGGGACAACAUUUCGGAACACCGUGGCCUUACGCGAGCCACCUGGGUACUCUCCCCGCCUUCCGCCCUUGGGUGCUCUAGCCAUGGGCUUAGAGCGAGGUUCCGUUGAGCCACGCCUGGUAUCCAAGUAGGUAGUGCCACCCACACUUGGACUGGGAGCAUCGGCCAGUCGAUCUCCCGGGGGAACUAGAGCCGGCUCUUGAACACUUCACCAAGCUACCCCGCUUGUCGGUCUGUGUUCACUCUAGUCUUGGACUUCCCAGUGGUCAGCUCAUCACCCAACACUGGGUCUGGCCUUCCUGGGCCAAACUGGCCUUUCCUAGCCAAACUGGCUCCACUGGGCUCCAACCCCCACACUCUCCCUACUAUACUUUUGGAAACCCCCGCCCUGGGGGACGAUCGCUUUGGGCUUUCACCCAACUGCCUGUAUUAGUAUUCGGACUCGGACUCGGACUCGGUCUCGGUCUCGGUCCCGAAUUCGGACUCGGACUCAAUCUCGGUCUCGGUCUCGGUCUCGGUCUCGGUCCCGGUCUCGGUUCCAUCUCGGACUCCAUCUUGGGUCCAUCUCAGACUCCAUCUCGGGUCCAUCUCGGACUCCAUCUCGGGUCCAUCUCGGACUCCAUCUCGGGUCCAUCUCGGACUCCAUCUCGGGUCUAUCUCGGGUCCAUCUCGGACUCCAUCUCAGGUCCAUCUCGGACUCCAUCUCGGGUCCAUCUCGGGUCCAUCUCGGACUCCAUCUCGGGUCCAUCUCGGACUCCAUAUCGGACUCCACUUCGGGUCCAUCUCGGACUCCAUCUCGGACUCCAUAUCGGACUCCACUUCGGGUCCAUCUCGGACUCCAUAUUGGACUCCAUCUCAGACUCCACUUCGGCCUCUACUUCGGGUCCAUCUCGGACUCCACUUCGGGUCCAUCUCGGACUCCACUUCGGGUCCAUCUUGGACUCCAACUCGGGUCCGCCUCGGACUCCAUGUCGGACACUUCCACGUGUCAUGUGUUGGUCCUUUUUGGGUCCCUUUUUGGAGCCUUGCUUAUUGGUUGCCUCGUGCUUGCUCCUCGAGCACUUUGUUGGGAGUUCCACUCCCGCUCUCAACCUUCCAAGUCGGAGCUUUUAGUCCAAACGUGUUAUGCUCGUUUGGCUUUCGCUUCGGCCACUACCACGUGGCACCCUUUCCAGCUCCACUUUGGGGGCCUAGGGAUUUUGUGUCUCACACAAAUUUGGACACUUUCCAUAAAUAGCAUUUGGGACCGAAAUGAGACUAACACAAAAGGCAUGAUAGCGAGGGUUUUUGGUAGGCACGGUAAGCUAUUAUCCAGCGAUAUUGAGGGACUAAUCUCAAUACGCGAGGGUUCUUGUCAAGCCAGUGCAAGACAGAGCAAAAGAGAACUAAAAAGCCAGGCCAAGUAUGUUUGGCUAAAUAGACACUUAGGAAUUCCGUCCUUAUGCUCAUCCGGCCAAGUACAGAUGCAAAGUCCAGUUUACUAACACUUGAACAAGAGGGGCUGGCAAAGGGUCUAGCAAUACUGACCUCCUGCCAUCAUGGCAGUAAGGAAAGAGUGUCCGUAAGGACUGGUCGACAGGUAACUUUCGAUACCCGAAGUCACAUUCGCGACAAUUCCUGAUAGCACCCCCUCGGAUUGAAGAUCAUUUCUGAUCGCAUUCAUCAAGGAGGAGUCCUGAGGGGCCAGAGAAAUUGCCAUAACUUGAAGCCGAUCAGGACCGAGGAUAACUUGAUCAUGUUGAUUGAAGGCAGGAUUACCAGGCCUGAGACUGAGAUAGGACCGCCUUGAAAGAGCAUCAGGAAGGCCUUGAAACUUUCUAGGUCUGUACUUGAUAACAAAGUCAAACCGACUCAAGAAUUGUGCCCACCUUGCUUGACGACGGCUCAAAACUCAGGAAGUGGCAAAGCACUCAAGAUUUUUGUGAUCCGUCCAGACCAUUGUUUGAUGGCCCGCCCCCUCCAAGAAACGACACCACUCUCCAAAGGAAUCCACGAUGGCAAGAAGCUCCUUGUCAUGGAUUUCGUAAUUGAUCUCCGCAGGUUGGAAUUUCUGAUAAUGGAAGGCGACUGGAUGAAAUUCUUGAUCCGCUCCGAGUUGAAACAACACAGCACUGAUGGCAAAGUCAGACACAUCAGCCUCGAUGAAGAAAGGUUGUGAGGGAUCAGUGUGGAUCAAGACAAGAGCAAAACUGAAGGCCGCCUUGAGUGUGUCGAAGGCCUGCUGGGCAGCAGCAGACCAAGAGAAGGGAACAUCCUUGUGAGUGAGAUGCGUGAGAGGAAGGACAAUGUCAGAGUAGUGAUCAAUGAAUUUGCAAUAGGAAUUGGCGAAGCCAAGGAAAACCUGAACAUCCGACAUUGAUUGUGGAGGCUCCCAUUCGAGAAUAAUCUUGACUUUGGCAGGAUCCAUCGUGAUACCCUCAAGAGUGACAAUGUACCCAAGGAACUCCACAGACUCCUGAUCGAAGGAACAUUUCUCAAGCUUCGCAUAUAAGCCAUGUUCCCGCAGCUUUGCCAACACCUUGCGCACAUGCUCGUCGUGCUCCUCCUGAGUUUUUGAGUAGAUGAGGAUGUCAUCAAGGUAGACGAUCACCAUCUGAUCAAGAAACUCCCGAAAGACGUUGUUUGCCAUGUGUUGGAAAAUUGUUGGAGCAUUUGUCAAGCCAAAUGGCAUAACGGUGUAUUCGAAGUGGCCAUAUGUAAGCCACAAAUUUUUCCUUUCCAAUUUGCCAGCUUACCUCGCCUAUCCGUCCAACACCGCCUUGGCUUUUGCUAAGUUCCCUUGCCAAGGUUCUCGCCUAUGGUACCAGCUCCUACUUGGUCUCAGCUACUCACUGCACGAGCAACGGAGUGUUAGCCACCAUCCACGGAUUCCCAAAUCACUCCCAAUCCCCCUCCCCGGGUUAGACUGGACUUAAGGUUCGGCUACACUCCCCGCAAGCACAAGCAGCCAAGCACACCAAGCUUCCAGGUUCCUAACAUCCUUUGGUACCACAAGACUUGAUCAUGGGACCCUCUAAAUCCCAAGUCUUGAGUGCAACACUUGCUUCGGGACGCCGGGGCGAAACACCGUGGCCUAGCGGCCCGGUAUGGGUACCUCUCGCCCCCCACUUCCAUCCCGAAGGAAGGCCCAAGCCCCUAGGAAGGGCGAGGACCAAUGAGCCGCAUGGUACUCAAGUGGGGCACCACUCCACUUGAGCCGGGAGCACCGCAAUCGGUUUCCCUUUCGGGAGUGGGAGCUGCUCUUGAGCACUUCCUUGGAUGGCCCCUCCGGCACCAACCAAGUCCAUGCUCACUCCCACCCAAGGCCCCUCGGUCCCAGUCCCAACCUCAAGUCAGUUUGGGAGCCCCACUGGAGAGUCCCUUCUAAACUGGUUCCUGGACCUCACUAUCCCUACCAUACUUUUGGAACCCCCUACAGCCCCCCCCCCCCCCUGGGAGACGCACGCUUUGGGCUUUCACCCCUUGACCCGUAUUAGUAUUUGGACUUAGUCUCUGGCUCGAUCUCGGACCCGAUUUCGGAUCCGACUUCGGAUUCGGGUUCGGACUCGAUCUCGGACUCGAUCUCGGACCCGAUCUCGUACCCGACCUCGGACUCGACCUCGAACUCGGUCUCGGACCCGAUUUCGGAUCUCGGACUCCGUCUCGAACUCAGUCUCGAACUCGGACUCGAACUCGGUCCCCGAGUCGGUCUCGGACUCGAUUCCGGACUCGAUCUCGAACUCGGUCCUAGAGUCGGUCUUGGACUCGAUCUUUGACUUGGUCCCAUCCGAUGAACUCUUUGUCAUUUUGGUCAUGCUUUCGGGGUUCCUUUAGCCUACGACACCUCGGCGAGUUGGUUCCUUACACCAUAGCGGGUUCGGAACGCAGUCUUCCAUUCAUUACUAGGCCGGAUCUGGAUCAGGUUGUAUGCUCCACAGAGGUCGAUCUUGGUGAAGAAGCAGGCACCGCUGAGGCGUUCCAAUAUGUCUGAGAUCAGGGGCAGUGGAUAACGGUUCCGAACAAUCACCUUGUUCAAACCUCGGUAGUCGAUGACUAGCCGCAAACUCCCAUCCUUCUUCUUGACAAAGAAGACAGGCACUUCAGUCGGGGACUGCGAAUGCUGAAUGUACCCCGAGGCAAGGUUCUCAUCCACGUAUUCUUUGAGGGCCUUAAGCUCGGACGGGGAUAACCCAUAGAUAGGCCCCCACGGAGGUGAUGCUCCUUCCUGUAAAUCAAUGGGACAGUCAUAAGGCUGAUGAACAGGCAGUACACUAGCUUUUUUCUUGUCAAACACAUCCCCAAAAUCAUGAUACUUCUCAGGAACACUGACAGGAGAAACAUGCAAAGCAAAAAAGGAAAAUAGAUUCUUCAUGAAGAAGUUCUUUCAUAGUGAUUGUGGAGAUAGGAGGAGGUGUACAACUAAAUGGAAUGAUGAGACGAGGAUACUGUCCAGUGUAAUAUGGAAGAGAGGAAAAAGAAGAGGGUGAAAACUUCGUAGAGUCAGGAAUAGAACCCCAAUUUAAGUUUAAGGAACUUUUCCUGAUUCGGACUCGAUGAACAGCAGGGGAAGCCAUGGGAGAUGAUGAUGUGGGAGAGACGAGCUGUAAUUCCUUCCAAUAGAUCUGAGGCUGAUGUAGUUGGAACCAAGGGAGGCCAAGCACCACAGAGAAGGACUUGUUGUUGAUGAUGUUGAAGGCGAUAUCGGUGACGGUGGACCCGAUGUGUACUUGAAAGGGCAACAUUUCCCUAAGUCCAGAAGAUGGAAACACAAAAUGCCUGCCGAUGCCUUCAACCCUCAGAUCCCGUAUGGUAGGAGAAAGAGGAACGUGAUGUCAGGCAGCAAAGUUCGUGUCCAUGAAGCAGGAAGUUGCACCCGAGUCCAGUAGUGCCAGAGCCUUGAGUCCUGAUUGUCCGGUGAAAGAAAGGAGACAUAGGAUGCGGAAGUUGCGGGAAUUGGUGGUGGCUUUGAUGAAAGGUGGUGAAGAGCUUGAUAAAGAAGAAAAGUGAUUUUUAUUUGGGGAGUCCAAACAGACAGCUCCUACUUUGUUUGGACAGGGUCGUUUCCCAAUUGCAACAGAGAUGGACUUUGAGGCAGAGUGAACUCGAGCAAUCGGGGAGGCUUCUUGGGACACACAGUUGCUUUGUGAUUAGGAUCAGCAUAGUAGAGGCAAAGAUUAUGAGAUAUUCGACGUUGCUUCUCAGCAGGACUCAACUUCCCUCUGAUGAGUCGGGGAGUACCAGAAAUAUCCAUCGGGACCGGAGUAGUAGGUCCAGGAGUAUGCUCUGAAGACUCAAGCUGGGAUUCCUGAGUCUGGGACGGGAAAACGGCGGCACGGUGACUUUUCUGAUGACGUUCAAAGAGACGAUUGUCGCAUCAAACAGCUUUGUUGAUGGCGUCCGACAAGUCCGUGGGAUCCUCCAUGGUGAGCAACAAAUCCUUGACACCGUUGUUGAGGCUGAAACGAAAUUGAUCAAUCAAGGCCUGCUCAUCCUAUUGAGUGUCCAAGGCAAGGAGUUGGAACUCUGCAGCAUAGAUCGAGGCAGGACGAGACCCUUGAGAGAGACGUCUCAUCUUUGUGGUGGCAGCCCGAACCCGAUCCGUCUCGCCAAAACAUGCUUCGAGCUUCUCUUUGAACAAUUGAAAAUCCAUCAGCUCCAGAACCACGACCCCUUUCAUGCUCUUCUCCAGGAGAGGAGAAAACCAUGACAAAGUUGCACCUUCGAGCAACAUCCCAAUCGCACCAAUUUGAGACUCGGGAGUGGGGUACCGCCGAUGUUAAAGUCCGAAGAUCAGCUCCAUCUGGUUCAGGAAUCCACGAAGCUCUGAACGCUUCCCUAAAAAUUUUGCCGGGAAACUCACCUUCGGUUUAGGAACUUUGUUGGAUCCUUGAGCCGAAAGUGAAGCAAGCUCCUGUUGCAUGCGAAGAAGGGUCGCCUUCAGCUCAAUAUUCUCAGACUGGAUUUUUGCAAGGACUUCGGCAAAGAAAUCAGGAUGGCUUGGAAACUCCAUUGGAAAAGAAGAAAGAAAAAAGGGGGAAAAAAUGCAAAGGCAGUCAAACAAUCAAAACAAGCUAAAGCAAAAAACGAAAAAACACAAUCUAAAUCAAACUAUCAAGACCCCUAACAAGAUCAAGACUGGAAAAUGCAAAAGACAAAGAGAAAAGCUAGUGAAUAACGAAGAAGAGGCCUUAGACUAGUGUUGAUUCAGAUUGUAGAGAAAUGGAACAAAGCUAACUUAUAUAUACUAUAGGUUGAUGAAGCUCCACCACUUUUGGAUCGAGGACGGCCCAAAUAUAGUUGAGGUUGAGGAGGCGUCACAUCAUCAUCAGGAAUGUGGCUCGAGACUCAGGAAUCGUAUGGGAAAUCGAGAGUCAGGAAUAGGGAAGUGUUUUGAGAGUCAGGAAUAGGGAAGUGUCUCGAGAGUCAGGAAUGUGGUCUGCAGGUCAAGAAUCUGGCGAGAGUCAGGAAUGUGGCAAGAAUUGGGGGAUUUCUGACAACAAUAAAAGGAGUGAUCAAUGUAAGCUCCUAAGUUUAGACUUUCCAGGGGUGACAAUAAAAGGAGUGAUUAAGUGUAAGUUCCUGAGUUUGGAAUUCCCAGGAGGUCACCUAACCUAGUACUAUUCAAACCUAAGAACGUUUAACUCAAGUAUCCCAAAACCUUUAACUAAUUUGAAAAAGGGGUGCACUUUUUUUAAGGGCGUUUUCCCUUUAUAUUUGAAUCCUAUGUAUCAUUUUUCAAAUCGUUCUUUUUGGUUGCUUAUAAUCCACCACGCUUCCAUGUAAUUUCAUGCCUUCAUGAAUGGAAGCUGAAAGCCAUAGCUCAACUCAAGAGUUUAUAUUUGGUAUCAGAGAGGUCUUGGGUCCGACUUUAUUGAUUGGCUAAAAGAAUUGCACUAGAUAUUGAUUGACAUCAGGUAAGUUUAAUUUACUUUUUAAUUAUUUAUAAUUAAUGAUGAAGACACCAUUAACUUUGUAGCUCCCUAUGCCAAUUCACCUAUCAACCCCACAAUAGAACCUACACUUAGUUUGUGGCCAUCUACCAUAUAGCUUAACAUGAUUGUAAUUUAGGGCAUUUUGUCAUUCUAGAUACCACCUCAUAAAUCAGAAUUCUGCAGGCAAGGAAAUUCAUUGCUCCAUUUUUCCAAAGGACAAAGAUGACACCUAGUGUCUAAAGCACUACUCAUGCCAAAAAUUCUAACCUAUGCCUCUUAUACCAUGUGAAGAGAAGCUAGCCUCUCCACCUAACACUCUGCAGAAAGAGAAAACUCCAAGAACAAGCAGCUCUCACAAAACAGCAAAAAGAGGUAAGAACGUUAAAUUGAAGAAAUGUGACUCAAGCCAUGUGGCUGACUCUAUGGUGGCUGCCACAUUCUCUACUUCAUAGAGUCUGCCACAUUCUCUACUUUGGUGGUAGGAAGACCAACUGUAAAAUAGAAGCCACUAAAACAAACAAAAUUGUGGCUAAGUUUUCACAUUUUGUCUCUUUAUCGUGCUAUCGUUACGGUUUUAGGGCAAAGCCCACCACCAACCUAGGUUUUCACGAUAGGGUUUCAAUUAACGAAAUGGACGAGGAAUUGGCUAAGGUGCAGGCUCAAAUCGGGCGUCUUGAGCCGCAGAUCCAAGCGGCUGGGGAAUCUUUUCUCUCUGCCUUUGAGAGUGGCAAUCAAUCUCUGGUGAAAUAUUGGCAGAAGAAGGAAGAGCAGCUGCGGAAGAAGGAAGAACAGCUGCGGAAGGAAAAAGAACAGCUGCGGAAGAAGGAACUCCUCCUCCUCCAAUGUAAUGGUAAGUCAUUCUUUGUGUAUUUAGCUUUCCCCCUCGAUUUGGGGAUGGCUGCUUUCAGCCAUGGUUAAGGAUUUUGCCAGAGGUAGCUUCAAUUCGCUUUUAUUUUGGGUUUGUGGCGUGUUGCGAAAUCCCUGACCAUAACCACACAUGGAAGAGAUGACUAAGGAUCUCUUUCUCCUCUCCCGCAGCAGCCUCUCUUUCACCCGGAGCAGCAGCAACUCUUUAUCCCGGAGCGGCUCCACUGUCCUGCUUUGCUUUCCCUGUCUGGUCACGGUUAAGGAUUUUUGCUUCCUGAAUCUGUUUCUUUCUUUCUGUGUGGAUAUCUGGUAAUCUCCGCAUCCUUGUGGUCAUUCUCACCCCUGUUUGCCCUUUGGCUGUGUUUAAUUCUGUGGCCAUUCCUCCAUAGACUUUAUUGUGCUUCUCACAGCACCAGCGCCAGCGCCAGCAGCGGGACUUCCUCCAGCCGAUUCUUACGUGCCUGGUAAGAAUGAUGUCUAGGGGACUGAAUGCCAUAAUUUUUGGUUUCAGACAUGAUCGCCUGGGCCAAAAAGCUGGACGAGAACCUGACCGCAG